This is a long non-coding RNA of Nicotiana tabacum (common tobacco), 624 nucleotides long. RefSeq lists it as uncharacterized. NCBI's taxonomy places the organism in Eukaryota, Viridiplantae, Streptophyta, Magnoliopsida, Solanales, Solanaceae. The record is from RefSeq and is a predicted model, not a curated record.
CCCACCAAGAAGAAGGUGGCGUAUUUCAGCAUACCAAAAGGAUUAGGGUCUUGUCAAUGAGGAUCAAGCAUAGCAAUUAGAAAAUUGAGGGAGUUCAACGAGUUGGAGAGAAUAAAAAAUAGUGAAGUUAUCCCUGUUUGGCAAAGGAGAAAGAAAAAAAAAGUGCAAAAGUUUGACACUGCAAAAUUGUAAAGCAAAGAAUGUUAUCAACAGUCAGCAACAUCUGCAAAUUCGAAUAAUUUUCGAUUCUUUGGGUGAUUCAAAAAGACAUACGGAUUGCUGACGAGUUUGAUAUUUCGACACGAGUACUAAACAACAGUUGAAGGGCGAGGAUUUCGUUAGUCAGACGCACAAGUUGAUAGUUUCUGGUGAGCCUCGCAUUUGUUCGCGUGGGCAGCAAUUUUAUUUAUUGUUAUGGCCGUUUCUUUGAACUCUUAGAGCCGCUCUAUAGUUAAAUUCUUUUUGUGUCUUGAGUAUUCUUCGUUAUUAUAGAUUUAUGUUGAGUAUCGCUCAUUCUUAUCAAAUUUGGAGAUAAAGUAGAAUUUUUAGUUGUUGGUGGGUUGACUAUUAAAGGUAGAUAUUUAUUUUGGUUAAUUGAUAAGGUCAUUGUCAUUUGAAUUGCUA